Molecule: ribosomal RNA, 253 nt
Filed under: uncultured bacterium
Lineage: Bacteria
Description: partial 16S ribosomal RNA
Rfam family: Bacterial small subunit ribosomal RNA
Source: RNAcentral
UACGUAGGUGGCAAGCGUUGUCCGGAUUUACUGGGCGUAAAGAGCGCGCAGGCGGUCGUUCAAGUCGAGUGUGAAAGCCCCCGGCUCAACUGGGGAGGGUCACUCGAUACUGAUCGACUCGAAGGCAGAAGAGGGAAGCGGAAUUCCCGGUGUAGUGGUGCAAUGCGUAGAUAUCGGGAGGAACACCAGUGGCGAAGGCGGCUUUCUGGUCUGCUCUUGACGCUGAGGCGCGAAAGCUAGGGUAGCAAACGGG